GGGGUCAUGGCUCAGUGGUAGAGCACUCUCCUAACAUGUGUGAGACACUGGGUUCGAUCCUCAAUACUACA
Molecule: transfer RNA, 71 nt
Filed under: Marmota monax (woodchuck)
Lineage: Eukaryota; Metazoa; Chordata; Mammalia; Rodentia; Sciuridae
Description: tRNA.Val
Source: RNAcentral